UACAUGGGGUGCAAACGUUGCUCGGAAUUAUUGGGCGUAAAGCGCGCGUAGGCGGUUACUUAAGUCGGAUGUGAAAGCCCUCGGCUUAACUGAGGAAGUGCACCCGAAACUGAGUAGCUGGAGUACGAAAGAGGGUCGCGGAAUUCCCGGUGUAGAGGUGAAAUUCGUAGAUAUCGGGAGGAACACCGGUGGCGAAGGCGGCGACCUGGGUCGAGACUGACGCUGAGGAGCGAAAGCGUGGGUAGCAAACGGG
RNAcentral lists this ribosomal RNA (253 nucleotides) under uncultured bacterium. RNAcentral's name for it is "partial 16S ribosomal RNA". It matches the Rfam family "Bacterial small subunit ribosomal RNA", at positions 524 to 776 of the family's 1533-position model. The record is from RNAcentral.